RNAcentral lists this non-coding RNA (212 nucleotides) under Ricinus communis (castor bean). RNAcentral describes it as "Bacterial large subunit ribosomal RNA". It matches the Rfam family "Bacterial large subunit ribosomal RNA", at positions 629 to 852 of the family's 2925-position model. Lineage: Eukaryota; Viridiplantae; Streptophyta; Magnoliopsida; Malpighiales; Euphorbiaceae. The record is from Rfam by way of RNAcentral.
UAUAAGCAAUGACUUAGUUAAGGGAACCCACCAAAACUGUAGCGAAAGCGAGUUUUCAUAGGGGAAUUGUUACUGCUUAUGGACGCGAACCUGGAUGAUUUAUUCAUGACCAAGAUGAAGCUUGGGUGAAGGUCUGAACUGAUUGAUGUUGAAGAAUCAGUGAAUGAGUUGUGGUUAGGAGUGAAAUGCCACUUGAACCUAGAGCUAGCUGG